This 429-nucleotide ribosomal RNA is filed under the name Chloroflexota bacterium. RNAcentral's name for it is "Chloroflexi bacterium partial 16S ribosomal RNA". It matches the Rfam family "Bacterial small subunit ribosomal RNA", at positions 355 to 776 of the family's 1533-position model. Lineage: Bacteria; Bacillati; Chloroflexota. The record is from RNAcentral.
UGGGGAAUAUUGCACAAUGGGCGCAAGCCUGAUGCAGCCAUGCCGCGUGUAUGAAGAAGGCCUUCGGGUUGUAAAGUACUUUCAGUCGGGAGGAAGGUGUCAAGGUUAAUAACCUUGGCAAUUGACGUUACCGACAGAAGAAGCACCGACUAACUCCGUGCCAGCAGCCGCGGUAAUACGGAGGGUGCAAGCGUUAAUCGGAAUUACUGGGCGUAAAGCGCACGCAGGCGGUUGAUUGAGUCAGAUGUGAAAUCCCCGGGCUUAACCCGGGAAUUGCAUCUGAUACUGGUCAGCUAGAGUCUUGUAGAGGGGGGUAGAAUUCCAUGUGUAGCGGUGAAAUGCGUAGAGAUGUGGAGGAAUACCGGUGGCGAAGGCGGCCCCCUGGACAAAGACUGACGCUCAGGUGCGAAAGCGGGGGGAGCAAACAGG